This 1547-nucleotide ribosomal RNA is filed under the name human gut metagenome. RNAcentral's name for it is "bacterial LSU rRNA". It matches the Rfam family "Bacterial large subunit ribosomal RNA", at positions 1306 to 2925 of the family's 2925-position model. The record is from RNAcentral.
GUAGCGAGAAUUAUGUGGGAAUCAUAAUGGCCGAAAAUCUAAGGUUUCUUGGGGAAGGUUCGUCCGCCCAAGGUAAGCCGGGAGCUAAGGCGAGGCCGCAAGGCGUAGUCGAUGCACAUACGGUAAAGAUUCCGUAGCCGCCGAACUUUAAGUCAGAGGGACACUUGCAGAUAGCGGAACCCAGCCGUUGGUUGAGCUGGGCGAAAGGGACUGAAUUUAGUAGGGAAGUCCGCGAUGCUGAAAGGCGAGAAAAGCUCUGAUGGAUACUAAGGCGCCCGUACCGCAAACCGACACAGGUAGAUGAGGAGAGAAUCCUAAGGCCAACGGGAGAAGGGUUGUUAAGGAACUCGGCAAAUUGACCCCGUAACUUCGGGAGAAGGGGAGCCUCCUACGGGAGGCCGCAGUGAAUAGGCCCAAGCAACUGUUUACCAAAAACACAGGUCUCUGCUAAAUCGAAAGAUGACGUAUAGGGGCUGACGCCUGCCCGGUGCCGGAAGGUUAAGAGGAGAGCUUAGCGCAAGCGAAGGUUCGAAUUGAAGCCCCGGUAAACGGCGGCCGUAACUAUAACGGUCCUAAGGUAGCGAAAUUCCUUGUCAGGUAAGUUCUGACCCGCACGAAUGGCGUAAUGAUUUGGGCACUGUCUCAACAGCCCGCCCGGCGAAAUUGUAGUACUGGUGAAGAUGCCAGUUACCCGCAACUAGACGGAAAGACCCCAUGGAGCUUUACUGUAGCCUAAUACUGAAGAUCGGUAAUGCAUGUACAGGAUAGGUGGGAGCCAGCGAAACCCGGGCGUCAGCUCGGAUGGAGGCAACCUUGGAAUACCACCCUUGUAUUGCUGGUUUUCUAACCUGCGGCCAUGAAUCUGGUCGGGGGACACUGUUAGGUGGGCAGUUUGACUGGGGCGGUCGCCUCCAAAAGCGUAACGGAGGCGCUCAAAGGUUGGCUCAGCACGGACGGAAAUCGUGCAUAGAGUGCAAACGCAUAAGCCAACUUGACUGCGAGACCGACGGGUCGAGCAGGUACGAAAGUAGGAGUUAGUGAUCCGGUGGUAUGUGAGUGGAAAUGCCAUCGCUCAACGGAUAAAAGCUACCCUGGGGAUAACAGGCUGAUCUCCCCCAAGCGUCCACAGCGACGGGGAGGUUUGGCACCUCGAUGUCGGCUCGUCACAUCCUGGGGCUGAAUUCGGUCCCAAGGGUUCGGCUGUUCGCCGAUUAAAGUGGCACGCGAGCUGGGUUCAGAACGUCGUGAGACAGUUCGGUCCCUAUCUGUUGCGGGCGCAGGAGAUUUGAAGGGAGCUGUCCUUAGUACGAGAGGACCGGGAUGGACAGACCUCUGGUGCACCAGUUGUCGUGCCAACGGCACAGCUGGGUAGCUACGUCUGGACGAGAUAAACGCUGAAAGCAUCUAAGUGUGAAACUCCCCCUAAGAUAAGAUCUCCCAUCCUUUAUGGAGUAAGGGACGACAAAGACUAUGUCGUUGAUAGGUCGGAAGUGUAAGUGCAGUAAUGCAUUGAGCUGACCGAUACUAAUAACCCGAGGGCUUGACCU